This 492-nucleotide ribosomal RNA is filed under the name uncultured bacterium. RNAcentral describes it as "partial 16S ribosomal RNA". It matches the Rfam family "Bacterial small subunit ribosomal RNA", at positions 28 to 507 of the family's 1533-position model. The record is from RNAcentral.
GAUGAACGCUAGCUACAGGCUUAACACAUGCAAGUCGAGGGGAAACGACAUCGAAAGCUUGCUUUUGAUGGGCGUCGACCGGCGCACGGGUGAGUAACGCGUAUCCAACCUGCCCAUCACUUGGGAAUAACCUUGCGAAAGUAAGACUAAUACCCAAUGACAUCCCACGAAGACAUCUGAAUGGGAUUAAAGAUUUAUCGGUGAUGGAUGGGGAUGCGUCUGAUUAGCUUGUUGGCGGGGUAACGGCCCACCAAGGCAACGAUCAGUAGGGGUUCUGAGAGGAAGGUCCCCCACAUUGGAACUGAGGCACGGUCCAAACUCCUACGGGAGGCAGCAGUGAGGAAUAUUGGUCAAUGGGCGAGAGCCUGAACCAGCCAAGUAGCGUGCAGGAUGACGGUCCUAUGGGUUGUAAACUGCUUUUAUAAGGGAAUAAAGUGGGUCUCGUGAGACUUUUUGCAUGUACCUGAUGAAUAAGGACCGGCUAAUUCCGUG